UGAAAUUCCUUUUGUAAAUUUUCUAGUACACCGACGAACUGAUUCUACUUCAUUAUCGACGGAUUAUCCUUGUCCACGUACUUGACCACGCUUACGUCCUUCUUCACGUACCAUUUCUGAAAAAAAUCAUAGCAUAAAUCUAUUAACUAUAACAAUAAAAAAUCAUAACAUUUUGAACUAACUUACAAUCAUACUAAAAUCCUUUUCGUCACUUAUAAAUUCAUUAUCGGAUUCGAUAUCUACAUUAUCUAAUUCAAUAUCGUUGUCGACAUUUGUUUCUUCAAAAACAUCAUUUACACUUAAAGAUACAUCAUCAAUCGUGUUAUCGUUGUUUGCAUUCACAUCAAAUUCAUUAAAAUCAUCUUGAUGUGUAUCUAAAUCUUUUUCUGAAACGUCAAUGAAUCUCGAGCUUUUGUUUUAAGCACCGUAUAUUAAUCGAUUGAUUUUCCGGAUACAUUCGAUAUAUAACAAACUUGCCCAGAUUGCCAAGAAUAAAUGAACGGCUCAUAUGUUUUUUGUUUAGAAUGUGUGUCGAUUGACACUGUUUUGAACUUAUCUAUUUUGAUUUCUUUGUAAAUAUCAUACCAAAUACAGUUAAACAUCGAAACUCUAGUAUCAUCGCCUAGAAAUUCAAAUUCGAGAAUUUCUUGAAGAACUCUAUAAAAUUAUUUUUAUCAUCUCCAUAAGAACAAGUCCCACGAACCAUGACAUCAUAGUUUUGUGACGUUUUGCUUCUGUCUUCAUUUUGUACAUGAAAUCUAAAUUCAUUGAUAAUAUAUUUCUUAUAACAUGUAACUUCUUUAUGAGGACCUUUUAAAAGAAUAUGCAAUCGUUGAUCUUGUUGACCAUGCUUCAUGCGAUCUAUGAACCAUUUAUGAAAAAGAGAAUCAGUUUUUCUCUGCAAUUCCUAAUCGGAAAUGUUUACAUUUUCCUGAAUCAAUUCUUCCUCGAAUUCUUUUAAAAAUCGUACUACUUCAUUGCAAUUGAAAAACACAUAAAUCAUUAUAGCAUUAUAUUCUUUAUCAGAUAUAUAUCUACGAACACUUCCUCCUAAAGCACGACCUGAUUGAGUAAAUAUUGACAAACGACCACCAGAUUCGAUUUCUCCACCAUCAAAAUUCUUUGAUUUUCUACUGAAUUUUGAUAUGAACGUACUAUUGAAGUAUAUCGAGAAAAAUGUCCCUAGUUCUUUAGCAAUAUAAGCCUCUGCAAUAGACCCUUCAACGUAUGCCUUAUUACGAACUUUCUUUUUCAAGAAAAACAUAAAUCUGUAAAUAGAAAUUAUAAUUAUAUCGUAUACAUAUAUAAUUUGCAAUAUUGAUUGUUCGCAAAAGAGAAUUACCCUUCAUAAGGGUAAAUCCACCUAUAUUGCACUGGUCCCCCAACUUCAGCCUCAUAUGGAAGAUGGAACAACAAAUGCUCCAUUGAAUCAAAAAAAGGUGGAAAUAUCUUUUCCAAUCUACAUAUCGUCUCUACAAUUGAUUCCCCAAGUUUCUUCAUUUCAUUUUCUUUAAGUGUCAUGGCCGGGGAACAUAUGUUGUUGAAGAAACGACUAACUUCGAUAAAUAAGUUAGUAAAUUCUUUUGGUAAAAAAUUAUCAAAAGCGAUAGGCAAUAAUCUCUGCAUGAAUACGUGAUAAUCAUGACUUUUCAUUCCCGUGAUAGUAUUUUCAUUGAUUUUGACACAUUUAGAGAUGUUUGACACAUUUAGAGAUGUUUGACACAUGACCAUCGGGAAAACGAAGUAGAAACACUCAUUCACACAUUUUCUUUAUUUGAAGUUUUUCCAAAACAUACGAUGCUUUAGGAACAACUAUUUUAUCUCCAACCUCUCGAGGGUAUAAGUCAUGUCGAAUAUCUAAUUCUAUAAGGUCUUUGCGGUCUUUGGUUUUCAUCUUCACAUUCAUUACUGUAUUGAAGAUAUUAUCAAAAACAUUUUUCUCAACAUGCAUUACAUCAAUAUUGCGACGAAAAAGUAAUGAACUCGAAUACGGCAAUUCGAAAAAAAUACUUCUUUUCGUCCAAUUGUGUGUCUUUCAAAAUUUGUCAAUUUUCUUUUAUCAUUACUUCCUUCAAAAAACACAUCAUCUUAAAGGCAAACAUAAUUCUAUUUUUUUUCCAUCAAUACGUUCAAUUGCUGCGUCUUUCUCAAAUCUCUUUAAAAAUUUAUUUCUUUGUCGUCGAAAUAAAUGAUAUUCGGGAAGAAACCGACGGUGACAAUAAAAAAACAAGGGUUUCCACUAUUUGUCAAAUAAAAUGAUUUAGUCUUUUCCAUACAAUAUGGACAUGAUAACUUCCCAUGCGUACUCCAACCAGACAAUUGCAUAAGCUGAAAAAUCAGAAAUAAUCCAUAAAAGUGAUGCUCUCAUUGUAAAAUUUGUCUUACUAAAGGCAUCAUACGUUUCGAUAUCUUCAAGCCAUAAUAGUUUAAGCUCAUCAAUCAAUGGUUUCAAAUAAACGUCAAUUUCUUUUUUUGGACCAUUAGGACCGGGAAUCAACAUAUAUAAGAACAUAAAUUGUUAUUUGUUACACAUCCACAGAGGAAGGUUGUACGGCGUAAUGAUCACUGACCACAAAGAGUAUUGUGAUAAAAAAUGACCGAAAGGAUUGAAUCCAUCUGUAGAAAAACCAAGCCUCACAUUUCGACCAUCAGAUGCAAAUCUAGGAUGAAUACUAUCGAAAUGCUUCCAAACUUUGCCAUCAGACGGAUGUCGUAACUUAUUAGGGACAUUUUGACGUCGUGUACUGUGCCAUACCAUAACUGAAAUAUCAUGACCACUUCUUGUCCGUGUCUUAAACUUUGGUUCAUGGCAUGUCGGGCAUUCAGUUAACUCUUUAUAUUCUUUUCGAUACAAUAUACAAUUGUUCGUGCAUGCAUCUAUUUUUUCAUGUUUCAAACCAAGGUUUUUCAAUUUUUGUUUGGCCUUAUAAAACGUAUCUGAAAGUUUGUUAGGUUUUGGUAUGAUCUUUUAAAUAGUUUUCAUCAAUGUAUCGUAGCCUUCCACAGAUAGUUCAUAGGUUGAUUUAAGAUACAUUAAUUCUGUCAAGAUCUCCAAAACAGAUGCAUCGCAACCCUCAUAUACUUUCGCAUAACCAUAAUUUAGCAAAUCGUAAAAAUUUUGUGCUUUAUCAUUCAGUUCUUCAUCAUGUAAAUCAAAUGGUCUACUUGCAUCGUGAACCAUGUCGACAAAUGGAUUAGUGUUAAUACGUUCAGCAUCGACCAUUUCAACAUCAUCUAUAGUAAUGCAUUCAUCUACACGUGCUAUUUUUCUUGGUUCUCCAUGUUUGUCCCAAUUAGUGUAAUCACUCAUAAAACCGAACUUGUAAAGAUGAACUGACAUUAUAUCUCUAACUUCCUAAUUUAAACAACAACAACUACUACAAGGGCAUUUAAUUUUUCCGUCUUCACGAGUCGUAAUUGACUAUGAGAAUGCAAAGUUUAGAAAUCGCUCAACACUAUUGAGAAAUGAAUCGGUAAUUUGAUUUUUCUCAUCUAGUCGGUUGUACAUCCAAUUUCGAUCAUUGCAGGUCAUUCUAUAAAAUACAAGGAGAAAUCCGAUCAACUUUUAUAUCGGAUGUACUUAGACGAUAAAAAUAAUUGAAACAUGCAAAAAAGAGUUGCAUGUAUAAUCUAAGAUACUAAUUCAUGACGAUCUAAAUUUUGUCAUGACUUUAUUGAAUUUUAGAUUACACGCUAUAUCAUCGAUCUUUUGAUCCAAUAAAAAUAUAUCAUGAAAAAUAAAAACACCAUGUAUAAGAAAUAUAAACAAAUCAAAUAGAAAACAUGUAUCUUCAGGUUUUUUUACGAUCAACAUAAUCAAUUUGUAUAUUUUAUAAUUUUAAAAGCAUCAAUUUUAAAAUUAUGUCUAGGUUAAAACAAUAAGCAAACAAACACCAUGAGAUAGAGAAGUAUCAAAAAUCAAGUGAAGAAAUUAAUCAAGUAAAUCACAUCAUAAAAAUGAUCUGAAUAUAAGAUUAAGAUCAAAUAAUGAACUAAAAACGUACAUAUGAAAUAAGCUACUCAGGAGGAGACGAUGCAAAAUCUGAAGAAAAAAAAGAUUAAUACACUAACAUAAGCAAAUAGAUAUAAGAUCUAAAAAUAAGGAAAAUAUAAAAUAUGUAAAAUUUAAUCUAAAAAUUGUAGAAUCAAAAUUUUCGACAUAGGAUUAUAUUUUAAUCAUGUCAAUUUAAACCCUAAUUACACUAUUAAUCAAUAGGAGUUAAAUAAGUCAAUCGAUAUUAAACCUAACUCCAGUUAAUUAAUUAAUCAUUUGAGUUAAGGGUUUAAGUCAAAGUUAAAAGUCAAAUUGGGAGAAUUACAUUUUCACCUUGAAUAUUAUUAUUUGAAAUAAUUGCAUUUUUACCUUGAAUAUUAAUAUUAUUAUCUUUUGACACUUUAUUCAAGGUAUAAUAUUCCAAGGGGACAAAACACUAUUCAAGUUUGAAUUUAUACAAAGAUAAGAUUCUCCAACAAACUCUAUCCAAGAAAAGCACUAUUUAAGAUAAGAUCAAAGACAAAUCNNNNNNNNNNNNNNNNNNNNNNNNNNNNNNNNNNNNNNNNNNNNNNNNNNNNNNNNNNNNNNNNNNNNNNNNNNNNNNNNNNNNNNNNNNNNNNNNNNNNNNNNNNNNNNNNNNNNNNNNNNNNNNNNNNNNNNNNNNNNNNNNNNCCACACGUUUUUGCCUCCAAGCUUCCAAGCUUUCAAGUGCUCAAGUGUCCUAGCUUUCCAAAGCUUCAAAAGCUCUCCAACUUCUUCUUCUAAUCUUCUUGUUCAUCUUUACAAGUAAGAAGUGUUGUUUGCUUUAAUAUUCCACUCCUCUAAUCACCUCUUGUGUGUGUCCACUUUGGUUGAGAGGGUUGUCUCAACAGUACCAAAGUGUGAGAGAAGGUUUGUGAGCUCAACCAUAAAGCUCUAGUUUGGUUUUAUAGAGUUUCCGGGAAAACUCUUAGGUCGAGUCUACCUUGAAAGAUUUCAGAGGUUUUUAAGAGUUCCUUGAUACUCUAAGGUACUAACUUAUCCGCAAAAGUUAGAGGUUCUUAAGAGUGCCCUUGAUACUCUAAGGUGUGAGUCUACCCUUAAAAAACUGGUUCCUAAACGAAGUAGCCUUAAAGCUUAGAGAGGCUUUUAAGAGUUCCUUGAUACUCUAAGGUACUAACUUACCCGCAAAAGUUAGAGAUUCUUAAGAGUGCCCUUGAUACUCUAAGGUGUGAGAAUAUCCGUAAAAGACUGGUUCCUAAACGAAGUAGCCUUAAAGCUUAGAGAGGUUCUUAAGAGUUUCCUUGAUACUCUAAGGUUUUGCCAUAACCUUUAGGCGAGUGAAUUCCGGCAGUUGGUCGGGACUGGACUAACCCUUGUUUGGGUGAACCAGUAUAAAUCUCUUGUGUUGUUCUCUGUUAAUUAUAGUUUUAUCUCUUAUCUAAAAACAACACUUAAUUAAAAAGGAUCCCUCUUCCAGUUAUCUGGUCAAAUACAGAAGUUGACUACUUUACGCAGAUCCCUCAUCCAGUUAUCUGAUCAACCAUCUGAGGUUAUAUUCAUUAUUUUAAAUCCUUAUAUUUGUUCAAGUAUUACUUAUCAUAUAUAUCCAGUUAUCUGAUCAUUUACUUGCUUAUCAAUAUAUCCAGUUAUCUGGUCAUUUACUCUACAAUACAAUUUGUGUUUACAAUAUAACUUAGUAUUCAUAUACUAUAAUUGUGUGUAAAACACUAUCCAACAAGUUGACUCAGUAUUCAUAUACUGUGGUAAGCUUCGAAGAGUAAUAAUUACAUUAUUAUAUCAAUCAAAGUUAUAAUAUCUUUAUAUCAUUAUUGUUCAACCAUUUGUUUAUUAAGCAUUUACAGGUAAUUCCGCAAUCAACCUGUAUAAAUCGAAAAGAGACUAUUAUCCCCCCUUAUAGCCUCGGAUCUCGAUCCAACAAGUGGUAUCAGAGCCAAGUUCCGUUGAAGUCAGACUAACAUCUUACAACAACAACUAUGACUUCAAAUGGUGAAAACAGUACUGGUCUUGCAUCGAACAAACCUCCUAGGUUCGAUGGAGUAAAGUAUGACUUCUGGAAAAACAAGAUGAAGUUAUACUUAAAGUCAAUCAACAAUGGAGUCUAGAAAAUCAUAUUGGAAGAUUAUGAGAUUCCAACAAGCAAAGAAGAGACUUGGGGAGCAAUGAAUAUUCUCAAGGAAAACAACAACUCAAGAGCAUUGAAUGCACUAUAUGGUGCCCUCAAUGAAUCUGAGUAUAGCAGAAUUCGAUGCUUGGAUACAGCUCACAAGGUAUGGAAAGCUUUGGAGGACCUACAUGAAGGAACCUCCCACGUCAAGGAAAACAAGCUACUAAAUGCCACUUCUCAAUUCGAAAGAUUCUCUAUGAGGGAAGAUGAGACUAUCGCGGAAAUGAAUAUUCGACUAUCAGAAAUAGUCAACGAUCUGGCUGGACUAGGAGAUCCAGUAACUGAGAAAAAGCAAGUGAGCAAGAUUCUAAGGAGCCUUCCAAACAAAUACUACUCAAAAAGGAAUGCUAUCCAAGAAUCUUAUGAUCUGAAUAAACUCACAGUGGUAGAACUUUGCGGAAAUCUGAUGGCCUAUGAAGAAGAAAGAUUUAUCUCUAGAGCAAAAGAAGAGAAAAAGGACAUUGAUCUCAAAAGUCAAUCCGAUAACGAAGCAUCUGAUGAUGACUUGGCAAUGAUCACAAAUCAUUUAAAGAGAUAUCUCAUAAAAAGGAAAGAAAAGAGAAAUUCAAAGUUAGACUAUCAGAAUUCCGACAGAAAAGUGAGUAAAAACCACAAAGACUCAAAGGAGCCCAUCUGCUAUUUGUGCGACAAAUCUGGACACAUCAGACCUGAAUGUCCUCUGCUAAAGAAAGAAAAAGCACAUCAAGUACACUAGUCAGAUUCUGAGUCAGAUCAAGAAGACUGCCUUAUGGCUCAUGAGAACGACUCUGAGGUAAACUUUACAAAUACUAGAUUUAAUUCAUUAGAAGAAGCAUAUCUAGAAUUAAUGAAUAAAUAUAAAGCUGAAAAAAAAUUAAGUAAAUCAUUAAGACUAGAAUGCAUGAAUAGAUCACAUAUUGAUCAUUCAAUAGAAUUAGAAGAAUCACAAAAAGAAUGCAUGUUAUUAAAAGAAGAAAAUCAUAAACUCUCAAGUAAAAUAAAAAAGGGAGAUGAAAAAAUUAAAAUACUUAAGAGUCAAAAUUUUGAAUUACUCGAUAUUCUAGAAUCUGAAGAAAAUCAACCUAAGGAAAUAAAUGAUGAUAGGGUUGAAUUGUUAGAAUUAAAAAUAGAUAAUUUUGAGAAAAUCGUUAGAAAUAAAGAAAAAGAAACAAUCAUGCUUAAAACUGAAAUAGAAUUUAAGGAUAAACUCAUACUUGAGCAUGAAGAAACUUUACAAAAAUUAUCUGAAAAACAUAACAGCAUGCAAUUACAAACUGAAAGAAUAAAUGAGAAAAAUAAUGUUCUUCAAAAAUUCUUAAAUAGUUCAUCCAAGUUAAAUAACAUGUUGCAAGGUUCAAACUUGGGUCAAAAGAAAUUUGGCUUAGGGUUUGAGUCAGAUGCACCUAUUAACAAAACCUUAAAUGCCAUAACUUAUAAUGAUCAUUUUGUAAGGGAAUCUAGUUAUACAAAACCUUUACAUGCUUCAAUGUAUAAUGAUUAUUCUAGCUAUACAAAACUCAUUCAUCUUAAGAAAAAGAAAAAUCAUUCUAAGAUGAAUCAUCCAAAACAAAGAUGGAUGACUAAAGAUGAGUUAAGAAGUUAUAAGCAGAUUAAGUAUGUUAAUUCAUCCGGACCCAACUCAGUAUAGGUACCAAAGGAUUUUUCAACUUUUUCAGGAAAAGCAUGUGUCAAAAUGGAUGUUCGACAGCGGAUGCACAAGACACAUGACUGGGGAAUCAAGUCUACUAACAGACUUGGUAGACUUACCUACUAGUAAAAAGGUCAAGUUCGCCGAUAACAACGAAGGUACAAUAGCAGGUAGGGGGUAAUGUAGGAAAUACCGAAAAAUCAUUCUUAAGAAAUGUGUACUUAGUAAUUGGUCUAAAACACAACCUGAUUAGCAUAAGUCAAUUAUGUGAUAUUGGUUGUGUAGUAAAAUUUGAAAAAUAUAAUUGUUUUAUCACUAACUCUGAGGGAGUUAUUAUUGCCAGAGGAUAUAGAAAAAACAAUGCUUAUUCUAUAAAUUUUGAUAAGUCUAAUCCAACUCGUGACUUCUGCAUGCAUGCUGCAAGCGAUGAGAAAGUUUUAUGGCAUAGACGAUUAGGUCACACCAGCUACUCAAAACUAUCUAAAUUAUCUAAAGAAGAAUUAGUAACUGGGUUGCCUAAAAUAGCUUAUGAGAAAAGUAAUAUCUGUGAUAUUUGUCAAAAAGGAAAGCAACACAAAAGCCCGUUUAAAUCCCUCACAGAAAUAACCACUUCUAGACCCUUAGAGCUUCUUCACAUGGACUUAUUUGGGCCAACCCAAACCCAAAGUCUUGGAGGAAAAAGGUUCACCUAUGUAAUCAUUGAUGAUUAUUCUCGCUAUACAUGGGUGUUCUUUCUAAGAAACAAAAGUGAAACCUUUGGUGAAUUCUCUAAAUUUUGUACCCUAGUACAGAAUGAAAAAGGUUCAUCUAUCAUAAAAAUCAGAAGUGGUCGUAGAGGAGAAUUUGAAAACUCUGACUUUAAAGAGUACUGUAUAUCCAAUGGGAUAAAGCAUGAAUUUGCUUUUCCUCAAGCUCCACCUCAAAAUGGAAUAGUAGAAAGAAAAAAUCUUACUCUUCAAGAAAUGAGUAGGUCUAUGUUACAAGAACAUGACUCCCCUCAAUAUCUAUGGGCAGAAGCUAUAAGCACUGCAUGUUACACUCUCAAUAAGGUAAUCAUUAGAAAAACCUUAAACAAAACUCCCUAUGAACUUUGGAAUAACAGAAAACCCAAAGUUUCAUUCUUUAAAGUAUUUGAGAGUAAAUGCUAUGUUCUCACAACAAGGGGAAACCAAGAUAAAUUAGCACAAAAAUCUGAUGAAGGAAUCUUGGUUGGAUACUCAAAAAGGAGCAAGGCAUAUAGAGUCCUUCUCAAAGAAAGACAAACAUUGAUAGAAUCCCUACACGUUGACUUUGAUGAGUCCAUCUCUGUUCCAAACACAGAAGAAGGAGGAAUUGAAGUCACUCAACAAGUACCAUCUGACACUCCUAUAGAAAAAGAUGAUCAAGAAACAAUCAUCUCUGAACUUCUAUCAAAUAGGAAUUUUAGAAACCCAUACUCUGUAGAACAAAUUAUUGGAGAUCAACACACUGGCGUACAGACAAGAUCAUCUACGUAACUAUGUCCUAGAUUGCUUUGUAUCUCAAAUAAAGCUUAAGUAGAUCUAUGUGCAUAUAUAUAUGAACUUAAUAUAAUCUAUCAAAUAUUUAUAUGCGUACUUUUACUAUGAUUAUUCAUAUACUAAGUUCUGUACACACAUAGCUAAAUGCAUGCCUAUCAUAUAUGACAAUCACGUUAAUGCAUUUCAUGCUACUAAAAGUUCCAUGAUCUAAAACAACUAUCUGAUAAAUGCAUGCUUUACAUGCUUGAUUCAUGCAUACAGUCGUCAACUUAUUUAUGAAACUAAUCCUAUACAUGCCUGUUUUACGUAUUACAAAACAUCUGCAUGCUUAAAAUCAUUUGAUAAAUACAUAUAGUAUGCAUGCAAAGUAAAAUGAGUCUACCUACAUAUGAGAUGUACAAUACAUGCAUGAAAACUUCAAAACAACUCAUUACAUGUCACGAUUAUGCAUGCAAGAUUAACACCUGAUUAUAAAAAUAUAAUACAAUCUAUGCAUGAAUAUUCAAAGGAUCGGUGACUCAUGCCAUGUUGCUUGUAUUAUAAAUCUUAUACAUAUACAAAGAUAAGAUUCUCCAACAAACUUUAUCCAAGAAAAACACUAUUCAAGAUAAGAUCAAAGACAAAGCUUGGAUUUAUGUGAGAAAUCAAGGAGCCAUCCAUUGAAGAUCCAAGGGUGGACAUUGAGUGGCCAAGGCUAUAAAUAGAAGGGUAAACCCCUCAUUUUCACUUACCACACUACAAGCAAACUCAAGAGCUUUCACUCCACAUUUGCCCACACGUUUUUGCCUCCAAACUUUCAAGUGCCCAAGUGUCCUAGCUUUCCAAAGCUUCAAAAGCUCUCCAACUUCUUCUUCUAAUCUUCUUGUUCAUCUUUACAAGUAAGAAGUGUUGUUUGUUUUAAUAUUCCACUCCUCUAAUCACCUCUUGUGUGUGUCCACUUUGGUUGAGAGGGUUGUCUCAAUAGUACCAAAGUGUGAAAGAAGGUUUUUGAGCUCAACCAUAAAGCUCUAGUUUGGUUUUAUAGAGUUUCCGGGAAAACUCUUAAGUCGAGUCUACCUUGAAAGAUUUCAGAGGUUUUUAAGAGUUCCUUGAUACUCUAAGGUACUAACUUACCCGCAAAAGUUAGAGGUUCUUAAGAGUGCCCUUGAUACUCUAAGGUGUGAGUCUACCCGUAAAAGACUGGUUCCUAAACAAAGUAGUCUUAAAGCUUAAAGAGGUUUUUAAGAGUUCCUUGAUACUCUAAGGUACUAACUUACCCGCAAAAGUUAGAGGUUCUUAAGAGUGCCCUUGAUACUCUAAGGUGUGAGAAUACCCGUAAAAGACUGGUUCCUAAGCGAAGUAGCCUUAAAGUUUAAAGAGGUUCUUAAGAGUUUCCUUGAUACUCUAAGGUUUUGUCAUAACCUUUAGGCGAGUGAAUUCCAGCAGUUGGUCGAGACUGGACUAGCCAUUGUUUGGGUGAACCAGUAUAAAUCUCUUGUGUUGUUCGUUGUUCUCUGUUAAUUAUAGUUUUAUCUCUUAUCUAAAAACAACACUUAAUUAAAAAGGAUCCCUCUUCCAGUUAUCUGCUCAAGUACAGAGGUUGACUACUUUACGCAGAUCCCUCAUCCAGUUAUCUGGUCAACCAUCUGAAGUUAUAUUCAUUGUUUUAAAUCCUUAUAUUUGUUCAAGUAUUACUUAUCAUAUAUAUCCAAUUAUCUGGUCAUUUAUUUGUUUAUCAAUAUAUCUAGUUAUCUGGUCAUUUACUCUAUAAUAUAAUUUGUGUUUACAAUAUAACUUAGUAUUCAUAUACUAUAGUUGUGUGUAAAAAACUAUCAAGCAAGUUGACUCAGUAUUCAUAUACUGUGGUAAGCUUCGAAGAGUAAUAAUUACAUUAUUAUAUCAAUCAAAGUUAUAAUAUCUUUAUAUCAUUAUUGUUCAACCAUUUGUUUAUUAAGCAUUUACAGGUAAUUCCGCAAUCAACCUGUAUAAAUCGAAAAGAGACUAUUAUCCCCCUUAUAGCCUCGGAUCUCGAUCCAACAAAAAUUAGAUUUAAUCAACAAAAUAAUCUAAAAUACAAUCUAAAACUUAUAUAAUCAUACCAUCAUAAAUUUCGAUAAUCAUACAAACUUAUAUAUAUUGAUUUUAAUAAAAGAAAAAUGAAUAAAUAGGGCUCAUCGGAUUAAGGUUUUGAACAUAUAUUAUUUAGAAUACAGAAUGAAUAAUCAGAAAUUAAGAAUAAGUUUAAAUCAGAAGUAAGAAUAAAAAAUUUAUGUAUUAGAAUAAAGAAAUUAAAAAUAAGAUUGCAGCAAAAAUUAAAAAUAAUAUCAGAAAUUAAAAAUAAGAAAUUUUUGUAUUAGAAUACAGAAAUUAAGGCUAAGAUUAAUUCUCCUAACUCAUAACUACCUAAAGCGUUGAAAACUAACCAAAAUGAAUGAUCAGGAGAUUGCUUUAAUUGAAUACAACACAAUAAGAAGAAGAAUUAAGAAGAAAAAUAGAUGAUUGUGGAAUGAUUCUGAAUAAGACCAAAAAAAAUGAUUGAUUAAUAACACCAACCGCCAUGAAUAGAUGAUUGAAAAAAGAUAGACUAUUUACCUACCACUGAAUUGGUUUUAAACACUGAAUUGGUUUCAUUCUAGGGUAACAUACAAAGCAGUAACCUACUAUUGGUUUCAUUCUAAAGGGAAGUAUGAAAUUGAACUCACAAAGUCUAAAUUUCAGAAGAGAGAUUGAACUCACAAAGUUCUUCUCCGGAUCUGAAAUCCAGACUUCUCCUUCAUCAGCACUUCCCCUGGAUUUCAGAACUAUUUAAGUCUAGAAUGAACUCACAAAGUUUGGAUUUCAGUAUGAAUGAUCAGGAGAUUUAUUUAAUUGAAUAUAAUACAACACAAUAAUAAGAAGAAGAAAAACAGAAUUAACCUCUAGAAACCUCAGAACCUCUAGAAAAGAACCCAACGACGGAACGAUUCUGGAAACUUCUGGAACCUCUAGAAACCUUGUAACCUCGGAACCUCUAGAACGAUUCUGGAAACCCAACGACGGUUUGCACGUGAGAAUCAGGGUUUAAGAAGAUUGUGAAAUAAGAUUGAAAAUCAGGGGGUUUGCGCGCAAGAAGAUUGAGAAGAAAUAAGAAUCAAGGUUUACGAUUUGGGUG
Molecule: long non-coding RNA, 12417 nt
Filed under: Zostera marina
Lineage: Eukaryota; Viridiplantae; Streptophyta; Magnoliopsida; Alismatales; Zosteraceae
Description: long non-coding RNA (ZMAR_LNC005000)
Source: RNAcentral